GAGGCAGCAGUGGGGAAUAUUGCACAAUGGGCGAAAGCCUGAUGCAGCAACGCCGCGUGAGGGAUGACGGCCUUCGGGUUGUAAACCUCUUUUAGUAGGGAAGAAGCGAAAGUGACGGUACCUGCAGAAAAAGCACCGGCUAACUACGUGCCAGCAGCCGCGGUAAUACGUAGGGUGCAAGCGUUGUCCGGAAUUAUUGGGCGUAAAGAGCUCGUAGGCGGUUUGUCGCGUCUGCUGUGAAAUCCCGAGGCUCAACCUCGGGCUUGCAGUGGGUACGGGCAGACUAGAGUGCGGUAGGGGAGAUUGGAAUUCCUGGUGUAGCGGUGGAAUGCGCAGAUAUCAGGAGGAACACCGAUGGCGAAGGCAGAUCUCUGGGCCGUAACUGACGCUGAGGAGCGAAAGCGUGGGGAGCGAACAGGAUUAGAUACCCUGGUAGU
Molecule: ribosomal RNA, 437 nt
Filed under: Curtobacterium sp.
Lineage: Bacteria; Bacillati; Actinomycetota; Actinomycetes; Micrococcales; Microbacteriaceae
Description: bacterial SSU rRNA
Rfam family: Bacterial small subunit ribosomal RNA
Source: RNAcentral